GACGAACGCUGGCGGCGUGCUUAACACAUGCAAGUCGAACGGAAAGGCCCUGCUUUUGUGGGGUGCUCGAGUGGCGAACGGGUGAGUAACACGUGAGUAACCUGCCCUUGACUUUGGGAUAACUUCAGGAAACUGGGGCUAAUACCGGAUAGGAGCUCCUGCUGCAUGGUGGGGGUUGGAAAGUUUCGGCGGUUGGGGAUGGACUCGCGGCUUAUCAGCUUGUUGGUGGGGUAGUGGCUUACCAAGGCUUUGACGGGUAGCCGGCCUGAGAGGGUGACCGACCACAUUGGGACUGAGAUACGGCCCAGACUCCUACGGGAGGCAGCAGUGGGGAAUAUUGCACAAUGGGCGGAAGCCUGAUGCAGCAACGCCGCGUGCGGGAUGACGGCCUUCGGGUUGUAAACCGCUUUCGCCUGUGACGAAGCGUGAGUGACGGUAAUGGGUAAAGAAGCACCGGCUAACUACGUGCCAGCAGCCGCGGUGAUACGUAGGGUGCGAGCGUUGUCCGGAUUUAUUGGGCGUAAAGGGCUCGUAGGUGGUUGAUCGCGUCGGAAGUGUAAUCUUGGGGCUUAACCCUGAGCGUGCUUUCGAUACGGGUUGACUUGAGGAAGGUAGGGGAGAAUGGAAUUCCUGGUGGAGCGGUGGAAUGCGCAGAUAUCAGGAGGAACACCAGUGGCGAAGGCGGCUCUCUGGGCCUUUCCUGACGCUGAGGAGCGAAAGCGUGGGGAGCGAACAGGCUUAGAUACCCUGGUAGUCCACGCUGUAAACGGUGGGUACUAGGUGUGGGGUCCAUUCCACGGGUUCCGUGCCGUAGCUAACGCUUUAAGUACCCCGCCUGGGGAGUACGGCCGCAAGGCUAAAACUCAAAGGAAUUGACGGGGCCCCGCACAAGCGGCGGAGCAUGCGGAUUAAUUCGAUGCAACGCGUAGAACCUUACCUGGGUUUGACAUGGAUCGGGAGUGCUCAGAGAUGGGUGUGCCUCUUUUGGGGUCGGUUCACAGGUGGUGCAUGGCUGUCGUCAGCUCGUGUCGUGAGAUGUUGGGUUAAGUCCCGCAACGAGCGCAACCCUUGUUCACUGUUGCCAGCACGUUAUGGUGGGGACUCAGUGGAGACCGCCGGGGUCAACUCGGAGGAAGGUGGGGAUGACGUCAAGUCAUCAUGCCCCUUAUGUCCAGGGCUUCACGCAUGCUACAAUGGCUGGUACAGAGAGUGGCGAGCCUGUGAGGGUGAGCGAAUCUCGGAAAGCCGGUCUCAGUUCGGAUUGGGGUCUGCAACUCGACUUCAUGAAGUCGGAGUCGCUAGUAAUCGCAGAUCAGCAACGCUGCGGUGAAUACGUUCCCGGG
This 1343-nucleotide ribosomal RNA is filed under the name uncultured bacterium. Its description in RNAcentral is "16S ribosomal RNA". It matches the Rfam family "Bacterial small subunit ribosomal RNA", at positions 28 to 1378 of the family's 1533-position model. The record is from RNAcentral.